CCUCAGACCUUCAGCAAAGGUUGUGGGGGAAUAACGGAAAUCAAGGAUGGUGCUCAUGGCAUCUGCAGUAACAGAGGGCAGAGAGUGAGCAUCUGGGAAUUCCCUUUGCCCAACGCCACAAAUCCAGUGGCUGCUUCCUGCUGCCCUGAGGGACAGCUCUGGCCUGACUGUAAUUUAUAGAUCAGUUCAACCUGAGCUGGUGUGAGCUGGAAUUGCAUGAGCCAAGCAAGUGCCUUGGGAAUUCCGAGGCCAUCAGCACAUCCCCAGCCUGACCAGGUCCAGUCUUUCAUUGCCACCAUGGAGGAUGGGGAAGAAAACACAACAGGAAUUGAGGGGUUCCACUGACAGCGGAGGAAGAAGUGUCCUGGGCCAUCAGGUCACCAGGAACCACGGGGCAGUGUAGCCCAGAGGCCUGCGGGAGGGAUGCAUUGCCAGGCUCAUCCUCCCCCAGACCAUGACCCCAGCCAGGGCGGCAGCCCCAGAGGUCAUUCCUUGCCCUAUAAAGUGUUCUGAUCAAAGUGGGAUCUUGGGAAUCUUCACAGGAGAACGUGGCCUCACAAAGUAACUCCUGCCUGCGUUGGUUCCCUGCGGAACCAAGGGGGUUGUUUUGGCCACU
Molecule: long non-coding RNA, 616 nt
Organism: Pezoporus occidentalis (night parrot)
Lineage: Eukaryota; Metazoa; Chordata; Aves; Psittaciformes; Psittacidae
Exons: 3
Source: RefSeq, a predicted model, not a curated record